Molecule: non-coding RNA, 24 nt
Filed under: Arabidopsis thaliana (thale cress)
Lineage: Eukaryota; Viridiplantae; Streptophyta; Magnoliopsida; Brassicales; Brassicaceae
Source: RNAcentral
UCUUUCCCAAAUGUAGACAAAGCA